UACGUAGGGGGCAAGCGUUAUCCGGAUUUACUGGGUGUAAAGGGAGCGUAGACGGCGGUGCAAGCCAGAUGUGAAAGCCCGGGGCUCAACCCCGGCGAGCCGUUGAAACUGGCGGGCUGGAGUUGGAGAGAAGUACGCGGAAUGCGCGGUGUAGCGGUGAAAUGCUUAGAUAUCGCGCAGAACCCCGAUUGCGAAGGCAGCGUACCGGCUCCACACUGACGCUGAGGCACGAAAGCGUGGGUAUCGAACAGG
Molecule: ribosomal RNA, 252 nt
Filed under: uncultured Bacteroidales bacterium
Lineage: Bacteria; Pseudomonadati; Bacteroidota; Bacteroidia; Bacteroidales
Description: partial 16S ribosomal RNA
Rfam family: Bacterial small subunit ribosomal RNA
Source: RNAcentral